CGCGUAGGUGGUAGUGAAAGUCUAUGGUGGAAUCUUAGGGCUUAACCCUAAAACUGCCUUGGAAACUUCAUUACUUGAGUCAGUGAGGGGAGGGUAGAAUUCCUGGUGUAGCGGUGAAAUGCGUAGAUAUCAGGAGGAAGGCCGGUGGCGAAGGCGGCCCUCUGGCGCUGAACUGACGCUGAGGCGCGAAAGCGUGGGUAGCAAACAGAAUUAGAUACCCUGGUAGUCCACGCCCUAAACGGUGGGUACUAGGUGUAGGGCUCGUAAGGGUUCUGUGCCGAAGGGAAACCAUUAAGUACCCCGCCUGGGGAGUACGGCCGCAAGGUUGAA
This 330-nucleotide ribosomal RNA is filed under the name uncultured bacterium. RNAcentral describes it as "bacterial SSU rRNA". It matches the Rfam family "Bacterial small subunit ribosomal RNA", at positions 568 to 898 of the family's 1533-position model. The record is from RNAcentral.